GUGGGGAAUAUUGGACAAUGGGCGCAAGCCUGAUCCAGCAAUGCCGCGUGAGUGAUGAAGGCCUUAGGGUUGUAAAGCUCUUUCGGCGGGGAAGAUGAUGACGGUACCCGCAGAAGAAGCCCCGGCUAACUUCGUGCCAGCAGCCGCGGUAAUACGAAGGGGGCUAGCGUUGUUCGGAAUUACUGGGCGUAAAGGGCGCGUAGGCGGCGCGUUAAGUCAGAUGUGAAAGCCCUGGGCUCAACCCAGGAAUUGCAUUUGAUACUGACGUGCUUGAAUCCGGAAGAGGAUGACGGAAUUCCCAGUGUAGAGGUGAAAUUCAUUGAUAUUGGGAAGAACACCAGUGGCGAAGGCGGUCAUCUGGUCCGGUAUUGACGCUGAGGCGCGAAAGCGUGGGGAGCAAACAGGAUUAGAAACCCUAGUAGUCC
This 425-nucleotide ribosomal RNA is filed under the name uncultured bacterium. Its description in RNAcentral is "bacterial SSU rRNA". It matches the Rfam family "Bacterial small subunit ribosomal RNA", at positions 354 to 796 of the family's 1533-position model. The record is from RNAcentral.